This 521-nucleotide ribosomal RNA is filed under the name uncultured bacterium. RNAcentral's name for it is "bacterial SSU rRNA". It matches the Rfam family "Bacterial small subunit ribosomal RNA", at positions 355 to 889 of the family's 1533-position model. The record is from RNAcentral.
UGGGGAAUCUUGGACAAUGGGGGCAACCCUGAUCCAGCCAUGCCGCGUGAGUGAUGAAGGCCUUAGGGUCGUAAAGCUCUUUCGCCUGUGAAGAUAAUGACGGUAGCAGGUAAAGAAACCCCGGCUAACUCCGUGCCAGCAGCCGCGGUAAUACGGAGGGGGUUAGCGUUGUUCGGAAUUACUGGGCGUAAAGCGCACGUAGGCGGACCAGAAAGUUGGGGGUGAAAUCCCGGGGGCUCAACCCCGGAACUGCCUCCAAAACUAUUGGUCUAGAGUUCGAGAGAGGUGAGUGGAAUUCCAAGUGUAGAGGUGAAAUUCGUAGAUAUUUGGAGGAACACCAGUGGCGAAGGCGGCUCACUGGCUCGAUACUGACGCUGAGGUGCGAAAAGUGUGGGGAGCAAAACAGGAUUAGAUACCCCUGGUAGUCCACACCGUAAAACGAUGAAUGCCAGUCGUCGGGUAGCAUGCUAUUCGGUGACACACCUAACGGAUUAAGCAUUCCGCCUGGGGAGUACGGUCGC